AACACUGCUGUUGAAUUAAUCUAAUACUACAUGACUGUCCACAUGGAGGACCUACAACAUUGAGAUUUCACACGAACUUCACAUUCGAAAGAAGAGGUUCCUGGUCAGGAUUAAUCCUGACUCCAGCAAAUACAGUGCCAAGGUCCACAAAAGUUGGAAAGCUGGAGGAACUAUAAUGCAGAAGAUGUCAUACAUGAAAAAGUCUAAGAAGAGAUCUGCUCUUCAUUUUGCUGUGGAACAGUAUUGUGAAAAUGACAGACUGAACGGUGAUGUAAUCACUAAAAUCCCAGCAAGUCCCCUUUGUUCAAACAUGGAAAAGGGUGUGUUCUGUGUGCAUGUGGAUAUGUCUUGGCGGACGAGGCUGAGGGCAGUGGCGCUGAGGUUAGCACAACAAGCUGAUCGGCGUGCGAGCCAGUCACACUAUGGCAGUACAGCGGAGCUGGAAGACCCACUGCAGGUUACUGGUCAGUGAAUGAUACUACAACAACAAUGGAGAGACAGGUGUGUAUGAGACGAGGACCAUGUCUGUGUGCAUUGUGCCCCUGUUGUAAGCUAACAUUAUGUGAAUGGAAACAUGAAACUAACGCACAUUAAAAAUCACCCAGAUCACAGGAAUGAGGGAAAAACAAACCAGAGCCCAACUCCUUUUCCCACUACUUUCAAGCCAAUACUAUAUAAUACUAUAUUUCAUGCAGCCUUUAGAUGCUUUAGAAAAACAGAACAGGAUGAAUAAUGACUGAAGCAAUUGGCAUAUUAUAUUUCAUUACCAUAUCUAGCCAAGGUGCACAACAAAUUGUAACCACUCAUACCACACAGUUUGUUUGCAUUUUUGAUUUC
This is a long non-coding RNA of Micropterus salmoides (largemouth bass), 837 nucleotides long. RefSeq lists it as uncharacterized. Lineage: Eukaryota; Metazoa; Chordata; Actinopteri; Centrarchiformes; Centrarchidae. The record is from RefSeq and is a predicted model, not a curated record. The transcript is spliced from 3 exons.